This 448-nucleotide ribosomal RNA is filed under the name uncultured bacterium. RNAcentral describes it as "partial 16S ribosomal RNA". It matches the Rfam family "Bacterial small subunit ribosomal RNA", at positions 338 to 795 of the family's 1533-position model. The record is from RNAcentral.
CCUACGGGUGGCAGCAGUGAGGAAUAUUGGUCAAUGGGCGGAAGCCUGAACCAGCCAAGUCGCGUGAUGGAAUAAGGCCCUACGGGUCGUAAACCGCUUUCAGCAGGGACGAGGCCCUCACGGUGACGGUACCUGCAGAAGAAGCCCCGGCUAACUACGUGCCAGCAGCCGCGGUAAUACGUAGGGGGCGAGCGUUAUCCGGAUUCAUUGGGCGUAAAGCGCGCGUAGGCGGCCUGUUAGGUCGGGGGUCAAAUACCGGGGCUCAACCCCGGUCCGCCCCCGAUACCGGCAGGCUUGAGUCUGGUAGGGGAAGGCGGAAGUCCCAGUGUAGCGGUGGAAUGCGCAGAUAUUGGGAAGAACACCGGCGGCGAAGGCGGCCUUCUGGGCCACGACUGACGCUGAGGCGCGAAAGCUAGGGGAGCGAACAGGAUUAGAUACCCGAGUAGUC